This is a long non-coding RNA of Oncorhynchus gorbuscha (pink salmon), 1028 nucleotides long. RefSeq lists it as uncharacterized. NCBI's taxonomy places the organism in Eukaryota, Metazoa, Chordata, Actinopteri, Salmoniformes, Salmonidae. The transcript has 2 exons. The record is from RefSeq and is a predicted model, not a curated record.
AUGUUUUGUUUGUACAUUUAUUGUUAUGGAGCAUACUCGUUUAACUUUAUUAAAAGACUCCAUAUUUAAACUCCAAUUGACUCUCCUGCGCCUGACUUCCCUGCCACCUAUUACACCUAUGCGUGACACCCCCCUUCCACAUUCCUCUUCAUUUUUGAAGUAAUGCUGCAAUUUGUUGGUUGUAAUUUUGGGUAGAGCAGAAAUGUCCAUAUAUUUUUGUUAGCUGCAUGUGUGACAUAACUCCACCAGUCCUAUUCAUUUACGAAGAUUAAUUUUUAUUUUUAUUAUUACUUUUUUGUUUUUAAUCUAGUAUAUUUGAGUUUAACAACAAUAUUUGUUGUAUUAUUUGUUCUGUUUGGUGGUGCCACCAUGGGGCAGUCUGUUUACAACAUUGACAUCAGCAAACCUCUCAACCACAAGACGCCAUACACGCUGUCUGCCAUCUAGCCAGUACAGUUGACACCGGGAUUCAUCUAUGAAGAGCACACUUCUCCAGCAUGCCUUUGGCAAUCGCAGAUGCCUUUUCUCCACAAGUACAGCUUCACCACCCGGACCUGGGUGAAGCUAGCCGUGCUACCCAGCUCCAACCCUCCACCCCACAGGAUCUACCACUGCUGUGCUGGCCUAGGCCCCAGCUACCAGCCUGUCAUGACCACCACCACCACCACCAGCACCACCCUGACCCCCAGCAUCACCAUCAGAAACAGUCUGGACAGCAAUCUACAGUCAUUCAAAAACAAAUGCUUCCCUUCCUCCUCAGAGUUAGAGGGCACUAUAGAGCUGGAGACGUUAAGUAGCUCAGAGAAGCUAUUGACUGAACUGGGGGACUAUUGUAAUGGUCUAAGUGGGAACUAUGCUGAGCGCUUUGGGAACUGUCUGACUUUUUUAAAUAAUUGUUAUACUUUUUUCAUCAAACCCACAACCGUGGCGCUGCAAGUGUAAUAUAUAAUUCAAUAUUCACUAUUAGCAAUUACUGAUUUUAUUUUCAAUACAAUUCAACAAUAAAUUAUUGUAUUUCUGUUUUGCUA